RNAcentral lists this ribosomal RNA (484 nucleotides) under uncultured bacterium. RNAcentral describes it as "partial 16S ribosomal RNA". It matches the Rfam family "Bacterial small subunit ribosomal RNA", at positions 28 to 507 of the family's 1533-position model. The record is from RNAcentral.
AUUGAACGCUGGCGGCAUGCUUUACACAUGCAAGUCGAACGGCAGCGCGGGCUUCGGCCUGGCGGCGAGUGGCGAACGGGUGAGUAAUGCAUCGGAACGUGCCCAGUAGUGGGGGAUAGCCCGGCGAAAGCCGGAUUAAUACCGCAUACGACCUGAGGGUGAAAGCGGGGGACCGAAAGGCCUCGCGCUAUUGGAGCGGCCGAUGUCGGAUUAGCUAGUUGGUGGGGUAAAGGCUUACCAAGGCGACGAUCCGUAGCUGGUCUGAGAGGACGACCAGCCACACUGGGACUGAGACACGGCCCAGACUCCUACGGGAGGCAGCAGUGGGGAAUUUUGGGCAAAGGGGGCAACCCUGAUCCAGCCAUGCCGCGUGCGGGAAGAAGGCCUUCGGGUUGUAAACCGCUUUUGUUCGGGAAGAAAUCCUCUGGGCUAAUACCCCGGGGGGAUGACGGUACCGGAAGAAUAAGCACCGGCUAACUACGUG